AUAUAGUUAUCUAAUAGUAU
This 20-nucleotide small nuclear RNA is filed under the name Arabidopsis thaliana (thale cress). Its description in RNAcentral is "snRNA_02077". Lineage: Eukaryota; Viridiplantae; Streptophyta; Magnoliopsida; Brassicales; Brassicaceae. The record is from RNAcentral.